This 418-nucleotide ribosomal RNA is filed under the name uncultured bacterium. Its description in RNAcentral is "bacterial SSU rRNA". It matches the Rfam family "Bacterial small subunit ribosomal RNA", at positions 61 to 526 of the family's 1533-position model. The record is from RNAcentral.
GUCGAACGCUGUAGCAAUACAGAGUGGCAGACGGGUGAGUAACGCGUGGGAACAUGCCCUUCGGUUCGGAAUAACUCAGGGAAACUUGAGCUAAUACCGGAUACGCCCUUAGGGGGAAAGAUUUAUUGCCGAAGGAUUGGCCCGCGUCCGAUUAGCUAGUUGGUGAGGUAAUGGCUCACCAAGGCGACGAUCGGUAGCUGGUCUGAGAGGAUGAUCAGCACACUGAGACUGAGACACGGCCCAGACUCCUACGGGAGGCAGCAGUGGGGAAUAUUGGACAAUGGGCGCAAGCCUGAUCCAGCCAUGCCGCGUGAGUGAUGAAGGCCCUAGGGUUGUAAAGCUCUUUCGCCAGGGACGAUAAUGACGGUACCUGGAUAAGAAGCCCCGGCUAACUUCGUGCCAGCCGCCGCAGUAAAAC